CUGACGGAGCAAUACCGCGUGAGGGAGGAAGGCUCUUGGGUUGUAAACCUCUUUUCUCAAGGAAGAAUGAUGACGGUACUUGAGGAAUCAGCAUCGGCUAACUCCGUGCCAGCAGCCGCGGUAAUACGGAGGAUGCAAGCGUUAUCCGGAAUGAUUGGGCGUAAAGCGUCCGUAGGUGGCUGUGUGUGUCUAUUGUUAAAGAGUUUGGCUCAACCAAAUAAGGGCGGUAGAAACUACACAGCUAGAGUGCGUUCGGGGCAGAGGGAAUUCCUGGUGUAGCGGUGAAAUGCGUAGAGAUCAGGAAGAACACCGGUGGCGAAAGCGCUCUGCUAGGCCGCAACUGACACUGAGGGACGAAAGCUAGGGGAGCGAAUGGG
RNAcentral lists this ribosomal RNA (377 nucleotides) under Hapalosiphon sp. C3b. Its description in RNAcentral is "bacterial SSU rRNA". It matches the Rfam family "Bacterial small subunit ribosomal RNA", at positions 383 to 776 of the family's 1533-position model. Lineage: Bacteria; Bacillati; Cyanobacteriota; Cyanophyceae; Nostocales; Hapalosiphonaceae. The record is from RNAcentral.